RNAcentral lists this ribosomal RNA (251 nucleotides) under uncultured prokaryote. RNAcentral describes it as "partial 16S rRNA". It matches the Rfam family "Bacterial small subunit ribosomal RNA", at positions 525 to 775 of the family's 1533-position model. The record is from RNAcentral.
ACGUAGGGAGCAAGCGUUGUCCGGAAUUACUGGGCGUAAAGGGCGCGUAGGCGGGUAUUUAAGUCAGAUGUGAAAGCUCCGGGCUCAACUUGGAGAGUGCAUUUGAAACUGGAUAUCUUGAGGGCAGGAGAGGAAAGUGGAAUUCCUAGUGUAGGGGUGGAAGGCGUGGGGAUGAGGAGGAGCACCAGUGGCGAAGGCGGCUUUCUGGGGUGUAGCUGAGGCUGAGGCGCGGGAGGGUGGGGAGGGAGGGG